This is a non-coding RNA of Picea glauca (white spruce), 45 nucleotides long. Lineage: Eukaryota; Viridiplantae; Streptophyta; Pinopsida; Pinales; Pinaceae. The record is from Rfam.
GUAAUGGUGUCUUUAGACACCACCCUUAUCUUCAAAUUUUUUGUU